RNAcentral lists this long non-coding RNA (1432 nucleotides) under Olea europaea subsp. europaea. Lineage: Eukaryota; Viridiplantae; Streptophyta; Magnoliopsida; Lamiales; Oleaceae. The record is from RNAcentral.
CUUGACUUAGUUUAAUUUAUGGUCAACUUAUCACAAUCAUCACACAUUAUAAUAUUGCAAUUUGAAUACAGCAUAUUCAAAUGAUUGUGCCAGCGUAUACGUAUGAUAAUAUCAUCAUCCAUGGCGAUUCAAGAAGAACAGAAGACCAGUUUAGUCAUCGUCACCUAUGAUUUACCACUACAAAUAUCUACGGUAUUAAGUCAAUUAAUUAAUUUGUAUGUAUUACUACCUUUAUUUUGUUGAGUUUGGGAAUUAAUUGAUGCAUGAUUAGAUCUGAUUUUGAAGAGCUGUUGGGUACUGUGUUUUCAUGCAUGCUUAUAUAUUUUAUUUUCUUUUCUCUGCUUUAUUCUGUAAUGGUAAUUUAUAUCUACAAAAAGAUUUGUGGUUUGCACUAACAGUACAUUAAACAUGAAAUUCGGUGAUUACAAGCGAGUGGUGAACAUUAAAGCAUGUUGGUUAAAAAGUAACUUUUAAUUUAGUUAAACAUGACGAUAAGCAAAUUGCUAAACACUGAACUCUAUCACAAAUUAAAUUGUCAAGUUACUUUAUUGGAUCGAUUUGCGAGAAAAAAACUAUGCUGGGUUGACUUAAACCCAUCUAUUUUUAAAAGGGAAAUUAACGUAAACCCGUCUAUCUUUAAAAGGGAUCGAUUUGCGAGAAAAAGACUAUGCUGGCCCCUAUUAAAUUCCAUUUCAUUUUUCUCUCUCUCUCUUAUUUUCAAUCACCCAAUUUUCUAUCAAAUAAUAUUACGCGUAAAUUGAAAACUUUUCCUUCUUUUUCAAUUACUCAUUUUUCAAAAAACACUAUUCCACCCAUUUUCAUUUCAAAAAAUGGGGGCCAAACGGGGGCUAAAUCUUUAAAUCUUCGUGCAAAUUAUGUCACAAACCUUUGCAUUCUUGAGCAAUUGAUCCUUUUGAAAAAGAUCGUUAAUUCUGUAUGUGGAAUGCAAUUGCUCUUAUUUUGUUUUUAUUUAAAUGGAUAAAACUUCAAAAACCCGUAUUUUAGUGAAUUCGAACAUAUUGAUGCUUGCUAAAUGCUAAACUAGGUAGUGAUCAGAGAAGAAAUUUAACUGCACAUUGAGGAUGAUUGAUAUCUGUAUUCAGAGAACACCAUGGUUAUUUUAUUUUGGGCUAUGUCUCUUUGCCAGAAAGUGAUUGACAGAUAGAGAAACGUUUGUUACAAAUGUGAAUGGAUGAAAGUUGUUUGUAUCUGAAACAGUCCAAUAAUAAAGUGUCAUGUGACAUCAUUAUUGUUUUAUUUUGUUGGUGUUAUUUAUUCUUGUGUUAGCUAAUUGAAAUAUGUAUACUUGCUAUGACGCGCAUUGGACGAGAGAGAUUUGAGUUUAAUUUGGGAAAUGGUCAUUUUCAUUGGACGACAGCGGUGGUUGUAGUGGGGUUGUGAAGGACGAGGCAAUAGGUGACAAAAGAAGAUG